This 402-nucleotide ribosomal RNA is filed under the name uncultured bacterium. Its description in RNAcentral is "bacterial SSU rRNA". It matches the Rfam family "Bacterial small subunit ribosomal RNA", at positions 355 to 774 of the family's 1533-position model. The record is from RNAcentral.
UAGGGAAUAUUGGUAAUGUGCGAAAGCGCGAACCAGCAACGCCGCGUGCACGAUGAAGGCCUUAGGGUCGUAAAGUGCUUUUAGAGAGGAUGAGGAAGGACAGUACUUUCUGAAUAAGCCUCGGCUAACUACGUGCCAGCAGCCGCGGUAAAACGUAGGAGGCAAGCGUUAUCCGGAUUUACUGGGCGUAAAGCGCAUGCAGGUGGUUUUGUAAGUUGGAUGUGAAAGCUCCUGGCUUAACUGGGAGAGGUCGUUCAAAACUACAAGACUUGAGAUUGGUAGAGGAAAAUGGAAUUCCGGGUGUAGUGGUGAAAUGCGUAGAUAUCCGGAGGAACACCAGUGGCGAAAGCGGUUUUCUGGACCAAUUCUGACACUCAGAUGCGAAAGCUAAGGUAGCAAACG